AAAUUGAAGAGUUUGAUCAUGGCUCAGAUUGAACGCUGGCGGCAGGCCUAACACAUGCAAGUCGAACGGUAACAGGAAGCAGCUUGCUGCUUUGCUGACGAGUGGCGGACGGGUGAGUAAUGUCUGGGAAACUGCCUGAUGGAGGGGGAUAACUACUGGAAACGGUGGCUAAUACCGCAUAACGUCGCAAGACCAAAGAGGGGGACCUUCGGGCCUCUUGCCAUCAGAUGUGCCCAGAUGGGAUUAGCUUGUUGGUGAGGUAACGGCUCACCAAGGCGACGAUCCCUAGCUGGUCUGAGAGGAUGACUAGCCACACUGGAACUGAGACACGGUCCAGACUCCUACGGGAGGCAGCAGUGGGGAAUAUUGCACAAUGGGCGCAAGCCUGAUGCAGCCAUGCCGCGUGUAUGAAGAAGGCCUUCGGGUUGUAAAGUACUUUCAGCGG
This 445-nucleotide ribosomal RNA is filed under the name Salmonella enterica subsp. enterica serovar Kentucky. Its description in RNAcentral is "bacterial SSU rRNA". It matches the Rfam family "Bacterial small subunit ribosomal RNA", at positions 1 to 442 of the family's 1533-position model. Lineage: Bacteria; Pseudomonadati; Pseudomonadota; Gammaproteobacteria; Enterobacterales; Enterobacteriaceae. The record is from RNAcentral.